This 393-nucleotide unclassified non-coding RNA is filed under the name soil metagenome. RNAcentral's name for it is "partial contains 5.8S ribosomal RNA, internal transcribed spacer 2, and large subunit ribosomal RNA". The stretch from base 1 to 122 matches the Rfam family "5.8S ribosomal RNA", at positions 35 to 154 of the family's 154-position model. The record is from RNAcentral.
GAUGAAGAACGCAGCGAAAUGCGAUACUUGGUGUGAAUUGCAGAAUCCCGUGAACCAUCGAGUCUUUGAACGCAAGUUGCGCCCGAAGCCACUAGGCCGAGGGCACGCCUGCCUGGGCGUCACACGUCGUUGCCCCCCCCCCAUCUACUCCUUCGGGAUUGCGGGGGGCGGAUGAUGGCCUCCCGUGCGCCCAGCCGCGCGGUUGGCAUAAAUACCAAGUCCUCGGCGACGCACGCCACGACAAUCGGUGGUUGCGAAACCUCGGUUGCCCGUCGUGUGCGUUCGUCGCGCAUCGAGGGCUCGAAAAAAUGCUCGGCUCCGGCUCGGCUUUCAACGCGACCCCAGGUCAGGCGGGGUUACCCGCUGAAUUUAAGCAUAUCAAUAAGCGGAGGA